This 444-nucleotide ribosomal RNA is filed under the name uncultured bacterium. RNAcentral's name for it is "bacterial SSU rRNA". It matches the Rfam family "Bacterial small subunit ribosomal RNA", at positions 338 to 795 of the family's 1533-position model. The record is from RNAcentral.
CCUACGGGGGGCUGCAGUAACGAAUAUUGGGCAAUGGGCGAAAGCCUGACCCAGCGACGCCGCGUGUAGGAUGAAGUCCUUCGGGAUGUAAACUACUGUCAGGGACUAGAAAGUUUCGAUUGAUCGGUCCCAGAGGAAGUCACGGCUAACUUCGUGCCAGCAGCCGCGGUAAUACGAAGGUGGCAAGCGUUGUUCGGAAUCACUGGGCUUAAAGGGCGCGUAGGCGGAUCAGAAAGUGUCUUGUGAAAUACCCCGGCUUAACCGGGGAAUGGCUCGGCAAACUACUGGUCUUGAGGCAAGUAGGGGUGUGUGGAACUCUUGGUGGAGCGGUGGAAUGCGUAGAUAUCAAGAGGAACGCCGAAGGUGAAGACAGCACACUGGACUUGCCCUGACGCUGAGGCGCGAAAGCGUGGGGAGCAAACAGGAUUAGAUACCCCGGUAGUC